RNAcentral lists this non-coding RNA (30 nucleotides) under Mus musculus (house mouse). The record is from RNAcentral. Lineage: Eukaryota; Metazoa; Chordata; Mammalia; Rodentia; Muridae.
UAGACCAGCACAAAACUUUGAGGUGUUCUU